Molecule: microRNA precursor, 64 nt
Filed under: Oryctolagus cuniculus (rabbit)
Lineage: Eukaryota; Metazoa; Chordata; Mammalia; Lagomorpha; Leporidae
Description: Ocu-Mir-615_pre stem-loop
Source: RNAcentral
GGGGGUCCCCGGUGCCCGGACCUGGAGGGUGCUUGCUGUUCGGUCCGAGCCUGGGUCUCCCUCU